RNAcentral lists this ribosomal RNA (799 nucleotides) under uncultured bacterium. RNAcentral describes it as "bacterial SSU rRNA". It matches the Rfam family "Bacterial small subunit ribosomal RNA", at positions 8 to 796 of the family's 1533-position model. The record is from RNAcentral.
AGAGUUUGAUCCUGGCUCAGAACGAACGCUUGGCGGCGUGGAUAAGACAUGCAAGUCGAACGGGAGUUUGCUGGUAGCAAUAUUAGCGAAUUCGAGUGGCGAAAGGGUGCGUAACACGUAGCUAUCUACCUCGAAGUGGGGGAUAUCUCCGAGAAAUCGGAGUUAAUACCGCAUGUGACUGUGAGGUCAAAGCUGGGGAUCGUAAGACCUGGCGCUUUGAGAUGAGGCUGCGGCCUAUCAGGUUGUUGGCGGGGUAAUGGCCCACCAAGCCUAAGACGGGUAGCUGGUCUGAGAGGACGACCAGCCACACUGGAACUGAGACACGGUCCAGACACCUACGGGUGGCAGCAGUCGAGGAUUUUUCUCAAUGGGGGAAACCCUGAAGGAGCGACGCCGCGUGAGGGAUGAAGGUCUUCGGAUUGUAAACCUCUGUCAUCUGGGAACAAUGUGAUCUACCUAACACGUGGAUUAUUGAUAGUACCGGAAGAGGAAGCAGUGGCUAACUCUGUGCCAGCAGCCGCGGUAAUACAGAGACUGCAAGCGUUGUUCGGAUUCAUUGGGCGUAAAGGGUGCGCAGGCGGUUUGUUAAGUCGGAUGUGAAAUCUCACAGCCUAACUGUGAUAGGUCAUUCGAAACUGGCAGACUUGAGGGCUGGAGAGGAGACUGGAAUAGUCGGUGUAGCGGUGAAAUGCGUAGAGAUCGACUAGAACACCGGUGGCGAAGGCGAGUCUCUGGACAGUUCCUGACGCUCAGGCACGAAAGCCAGGGGAGCAAACGGGAUUAGAUACCCCCGUAGUCC